GCCGGGUGCGGUGGUGCACACCUGUAAUCCCAGCAGCUCCGGAGGCUGAGAUAGGAGGAUCGAGAGUUCAGAAGCCAGCCUCAGCAAAAGUGAUGUGCUAAGCAACUCAGUGAGACCCUGUCUAUA
This 126-nucleotide small RNA is filed under the name Marmota monax (woodchuck). Lineage: Eukaryota; Metazoa; Chordata; Mammalia; Rodentia; Sciuridae. The record is from RNAcentral.